UACGUAGGUGGCGAGCGUUGUCCGGAAUUACUGGGUGUAAAGGGCGUGUAGGCGGGAAGAUAAGUCAGAUGUGAAAUUCCGCGGCUUAACUGCGGAGCUGCAACUGAAACUAUCUUUCUUGAGUGCUGGAGAGGGAAGCGGAAUUCCUAGUGUAGCGGUGAAAUGCGUAGAUAUUAGGAGGAACACCAGUGGCGAAGGCGGCUUUCUGGACAGUAACUGACGCUGAGGCGCGAAAGCGUGGGGAGCAAACAGGAUUAGAUACCCUGGUAGUCCACGCUGUAAACGAUGGAUACUAGGUGUAGGAGGUAUCGACCCCUUCUGUGCCGGAGUUAACACAAUAAGUAUCCCACCUGGGGAGUACGGCCGCAAGGUUGAA
RNAcentral lists this ribosomal RNA (376 nucleotides) under uncultured bacterium. RNAcentral describes it as "bacterial SSU rRNA". It matches the Rfam family "Bacterial small subunit ribosomal RNA", at positions 524 to 898 of the family's 1533-position model. The record is from RNAcentral.